Long non-coding RNA from Oxyura jamaicensis (ruddy duck), 3806 nucleotides. RefSeq lists it as uncharacterized. Lineage: Eukaryota; Metazoa; Chordata; Aves; Anseriformes; Anatidae. The record is from RefSeq and is a predicted model, not a curated record. The transcript is spliced from 3 exons.
GAUUUAUUUGGUGGUCCUUUGGAGACCCAGGAGUUGGACUAGAUGAUCCUUGUGGGUCUCUUCCAACUUGGGAUAUUCUAUGAUUUUAUGUUUCCCUAGUUUUCCCUUUUAUAUAUUGCUUCCUUCCAUAUGUAGACUACGAGUAAAUGUGAGCAGAGAACCACAAACUCCAUGAGCCCAGUGUUUUGGAGCACGCAUGAAAGUUGGGUUGGUAAGGUCCUGUCUAAUGCCCAGUACAAAGUCAUGCUUCGUGACCUGCAGUUUCAGGAACGACAGCUCUGUUUUAAUUCCUUCAGUACAUGUUUAUGACUCACUGGGUCAUCUGUGUUUUGAAUGUAGCAGAUUCUGUUGUGUGGGUACAUAUGUAAGUGGUGUAUAUGUAAGUGCGAAAAAGCUAGGGUUGAAUAUCUGACUACUAGUACUUCUCAUUUCCAUAAAUUAGAGGUGACAAUGGUAGCCUAACCUGAAGCUAAAAAUGCAGUAAAUACGGGAUGGUGGGAUUAGGAGCUUUCUACACAACUCAUUGUAGAAAUAGUGAAGAGUUUUUGCACAACCAAAUGCUUGUUGCUAGUAUGAAGCAGAGUGCUAUCUUCUAGCUGAAUUGCAAAUUCAAAACUGGCUAUGAAUGACCAAGGGAAUGAUAAAACUUUCUUUAACCAGACAGGUCAAAACAUGCAAAUCCUUUAUCUUUGUCUCCGGUAAAAAUGCUCCUCUGGUUCAAUUGUCACUUAAAUGAGUAUAAAUCAGGAAUAGCUCAUGUAAAUCCUACAUCUGUGCUGCACCUUCUGGUAAGUCUCAUGGGCUUGACAGUGAUGUGAUCUAAUUUAAAGUGUCAUUGAGGAUUUAUUCAAAAUGAGUUUUACAAGAGUACUCUGCAACAUUUCUCUAUUUGAAAGGAGAAAGUAGGUUAAAGGAAAGAUAAUUUACAAGGAAAAGUCAAGGCAAGAAUAAUCAGCAUGAGGGCCUGGUUAGACACAUGGCAAUGUUUAAUCCUUACUCUUACUAAUCCUUCAGGCCAGGAUUGCAAAAAUGAGAGUUUUUAUUUUCUUUCUCAUGUAUUACCAACUGCUUAGAGGACAGAGCAGCCCCAGUCUCCUUAUUUUGCGUCAGGUUAAUAGGAACAGUGUAAAGGACAAGAUGCAGCACAUGUUAAAGUAUAUGCCUAUGGGCUACAUACCUCAUUCAACUGGAAAACUACUGCCUUAUAAAUCUAAGUAACCAAGAAGAAUGAAACCAGAGCCUGAUGGUGCCCAGUAACAUGGCCAAGAGUCAGUCAUAACGACCAGGCAUAUGGGCAGCCAAGUGAAUAAUGCUGCCAGAAGGGAUGUCUGCAGUGCAGCAGUUGGGAAAUGCUUAUUAAAGGUCCUAACAUGGCUGCAUGCCCCUGAGAAGUCAUUUCUGUUCAAAGAGGCAUCUUUCCAGACUGCUGGUGAGUUUCUAUAUGUAUUUUCAUACUUGUGCAUUUUGGAAGUGUUUAGCUGAAACUGACUUGUUCUUCCUAUCAAUAUCUGAUGCCUCCUAUCAAACCCAUCAUUUCAAUUUAUUAUCACCCUACUGGGAAGCUUCAACAAAAAUGUCUGGAAACCUCCCCUCCUGCAUCAUUUCCUGAGCAAUUCGAUCAGCUUAGGAGGAAAGGCUUAAAGCCAAAAGCUAGAAAUUGCUGAAGGACAAAGAUCCUCACUCUCCCUGCCUGUUUGAACUUGAGUACUGAUCUGUGUGGCAGCAGGACUUGGGGUUCCUUGCAAGGUCCCUUCAACCCUUCAGUUUGUUCCUGAUAAAUAUCUUGACACCGAGAAAGGUGCUAACAGGUUUGUGUGUGUUUUUAUUUAGAAGUCAUUCUUUCUGAGCUCGAUUUGGAAGAAGCGAAAGUCUCUGUAACUGCCACCUGAAUAUUUCAGGUCUGAUUCUGCUGCCUUGUCUUUCUUGCUCAGGGUAAUUAUAAGCUGCCCCGUAGCCACGAAAGAACUUGAGCUUCUUGCUGAAAUCGCACCCAGCCAUUUCUUUCCACAAGGCGAGGGAGAAAGGAGGUCUGCAAGAGUUCACAUUAAUAAUGACUUAAAUGCCCAUUUCCCACACAUCUUUGCUAGCACAAACAACUAAAAUAGUCCACUUGCAAAGAACCUGAUUCAGCUUUCUUGCAUUCCACAAUAACAGAUGGAUUGCUAGACUGUUUACUGUUGCUUCCCACAAACUUCCUGUUAGUAAACUCCUGUAUUAUUUAUGAAACAGAAAAAUUACAAAGAAGUACCCUAGCUGAUUACUGCCUGCUGGUGAACCACUGCCAGAGAAACUUUUUAUACAAAUAUAUGUAUGAGAGCAAAGAUUGCUCCGGCUGCUGCUUUUUUUUGUUGUUGUUGUUUUAUUCCUACAAUUGUUCAUUUCACAGUAUUCUGCAACCCUGACUGGACUUGUGGCCCUAUUGUGUUGCAUUCCCAAGCAGGUAUUUCCUGCAUCCAGACAUUUACAGUCAAAUUGAGGCAUUCAUGGAUGUGUGAAGGAGCAAGGGGGAAUAAAAUAAAAUAAUAAAAAAAAGGAUGCAUGCAUUGUUACAGCAAUCAGCUACGAAUAAGAAAUGUUUGAAGCCUUUUUGUUUUACAAUGACAAUGAUGAACGAGAUGUUACUAAUGUGAUAUUAAUCUCUGCUGCCUUAGUGUAUGAAGCCUGUUAUCUUGGAGCUGUUGGUAGAAAAGAGAGAGAAUAUCAAUCACCUUCAUGCUACUUCUGACAUAAGUAGGUAGCAAAUGCAAAGAAACUAUUUUCCUCUCAGUUUGGCUGUUAAACUCUGUGAGACAUAUGAGCUGAGAAAAGCACUUUGUUUUCACUGCAUCCUGUGGGUUAGAUUGAUUUCUGACUUUCGGCAGCAUGAGAAGGCAGGCCAACCUGUAGUCCAUUUGCACCAUGUAUCAACAAAGCUAGCUAAUUUAAAAAUUAGUCUGUAAUAAAAAGGAAUAAAAUGUAACGCAGAAAUAUGAAUCUUGUAUGUUCCCCAAAUACUUGUAGUGAUUCUAGAAAUAACACUUGACCUAACACUAACACAGUCGUUCUGUUUUUUGAAUAGCUGCUAUUAUAUUUCCCUGCAUUUCUGUUCUAUGUAUGUGUUCUAUAUGAACGAAUUGGCUGCUCCACCUGAUAUUUAUGACUGUAGACGUGCAUUAUACAUACAUACAGAAACAGAAUGAAAAUUUUCCUGAUCUGAGAUACAGAUAAGUCUUCCUUGAGAUUUUUAUUUGAUUCCCUAAACUGAAAUCAAAACUCAAACCAGCACUGCAGGCUGAGUGCUUUCUAAUGUUAUAGACCUGCUAUCAUGGAUCUUUAAUUGUAUAAAGUUUAACACAAAAAACCUGCUGUACAUUGUAGGCAUCUGCAGGAUGCCGAUUAAAUCAUCAUAUACCUUUAUAAGGACUGUAUCUGCAAAGAGCCGAUACCGAAUGGAAUGGGGCAUCUGCUGAUCCUGGGGCAGAGCUCAUUUGUGUGCAUUUAUCUGUGAGACAAUGUCACAUAACUUAUCACUCGUUUCAAAUAAUAAUAUUUUCUCUGAUCAAAUUCUCUCUCUUCUCUGCAUUUUCAAACGCUCUCACUCGAAGCUCCUAUUGACAGGAAAAGUAUUCGAUAUUAUUAAGGGCAGAUGAUCAACUGCAGUAUCUGUCUCCUGAUGCUUCACUCCACCAACAAGAAACUUGUGACAGAUGUUUCUAUGCUUUAUGCAAAUAGGAUCUUCAUGGAUCAGUUUUCCUUUCCUCCGUGGAAUAUAUGCAGCUGGAAAAUAGAAAUCCAGCUCCACGGCAUGAAGGAAAAAAAAAAAAAAA